GGGGCCGUGGUCUAGCGGAAUGACGCCAGCCUCCUUCGGCGGAGGUCGCCGGUUCAAAUCCGGCCGGCCCCA
Molecule: transfer RNA, 72 nt
Filed under: Nitrososphaerota archaeon
Lineage: Archaea; Thermoproteati; Nitrososphaerota
Also listed under: 1 other name
Description: Thaumarchaeota archaeon tRNA-Arg
Rfam family: tRNA
About the family: Transfer RNA (tRNA) molecules are approximately 80 nucleotides in length. Their secondary structure includes four short double-helical elements and three loops (D, anti-codon, and T loops). Further hydrogen bonds mediate the characteristic L-shaped molecular structure. tRNAs have two regions of fundamental functional importance: the anti-codon, which is responsible for specific mRNA codon recognition, and the 3' end, to which the tRNAs corresponding amino acid is attached (by aminoacyl-tRNA synthetases). tRNAs cope with the degeneracy of the genetic code in two manners: having more than one tRNA (with a specific anti-codon) for a particular amino acid; and 'wobble' base-pairing, i.e. permitting non-standard base-pairing at the 3rd anti-codon position.
Source: RNAcentral